UGAAGUGAGCUUCCUAGAAUUCUGUAAUACCAGCCCUUUUUUUUAAAGGCCCUGUUUCUAGCAGAUACUCAGCUGGCAUCCCCAAAAGAUGUCUUAGCAGGGCUUUAUUGGCAGGCACCAAAGCCCCAGGGCCUCUGGCAAAGAGAGUGAGGGUGUAAGAGAACAAAAGCCCGAAUGAAACCCAAGAAAGUUUCCAAGCGAUGCAAGAAAGAGGGAAGCGCUGCCUGAGGGAGCUCGGGACAGAAUGAACACAGUCGAAAGCCCUUUCCAGAAAGACCGAGUCGAGCGUGAGCCUUCAUCACCUCAUGUCACACAUACCAAGCCUUUCUGCUUGAACAAGAGCCAGGAAUCCAUUGACUGCAGCUCUGGCACUUUGCUACUGGAUCCAUUAGUCUGACUCUGGCUGAAGAAAAUUCCUGUGACACCUGACUGCUAAAUACUUUUAUUUCACUGCUGUAUUGAUCUUGCAGCAGUUUGAGAUCUUAUAUCAGAGAGAAGGUCAGUACAGAGGUGACCUGGGGGAAUGAGCUAUACCUUACAUAAGAUGUAUGAAUAUCUUUCAUUUUAAGGAUAAUAAGAAAAGCAUAUCAUCCAACCAGUUGUAAAAGGAACCUCACUUUCUUUUGAUUUAGCAAGAUAACAUUUUAUAUAUGAAAACACUCAUCACACUACAAAGAUUUAUACUGUUUUAAUUUAAGAUGGAAAAUAUAAUUUUAGAAUAUUAUAGCACAUACUGGGUAUAGAAGAUUAGCACACACUAGCUAAUACCAGCAUCAA
Molecule: long non-coding RNA, 777 nt
Organism: Hemicordylus capensis (graceful crag lizard)
Lineage: Eukaryota; Metazoa; Chordata; Lepidosauria; Squamata; Cordylidae
Exons: 3
Source: RefSeq, a predicted model, not a curated record